RNAcentral lists this ribosomal RNA (432 nucleotides) under uncultured bacterium. Its description in RNAcentral is "partial 16S ribosomal RNA". It matches the Rfam family "Bacterial small subunit ribosomal RNA", at positions 29 to 507 of the family's 1533-position model. The record is from RNAcentral.
ACGAACGCUGGCGGCAUGCCUAACACCUGCCAGUCGAACGAGACCUUCGGGUCUAGUGGCGCACGGGUGCGUAACGCGUGGGAACCUGCCCUUAGGUUCGGAAUAACUCCCCGAAAGGGGUGCUAAUACCGGAUAAUGUCUUCGGACCAAAGAUUUAUCGCCUUUGGAUGGGCCCGCGUUGGAUUAGCUAGUUGGUAGGGUAAAAGCCUACCAAGGCGACGAUCCAUAGCUGGUCUGAGAGGAUGAUCAGCCACACUGGGACUGAGACACGGCCCAGACUCCUACGGGAGGCAGCAGUGGGGAAUAUUGGACAAUGGGCGAAAGCCUGAUCCAGCAAUGCCGCGCGAGUGAUGAAGGCCUUAGGGUUGUAAAGCUCUUUUACCCGGGAUGAUAAUGACAGUACCGGGAGAAUAAGCUCCGGCUAACUCCGUG